Molecule: ribosomal RNA, 253 nt
Filed under: uncultured bacterium
Lineage: Bacteria
Description: partial 16S ribosomal RNA
Rfam family: Bacterial small subunit ribosomal RNA
Source: RNAcentral
UACGAAGGGAGCUAGCGUUGUUCGGAAUCACUGGGCGUAAAGGGCGCGUAGGCGGCCUCAGGUGUCGGAUGUGAAAGCCCGGGGCUCAACCCCGGAGGUGCAUCCGAAACUCUGGGGCUGGAGGUCGGAAGAGGAGGGUGGAAUACCCAGUGUAGAGGUGAAAUUCGUAGAUAUUGGGUGGAACACCGGUGGCGAAAGCGGCUCUCUGGUCCGGACCUGACGCUGAGGCGCGAAAGCGUGGGGAGCAAACAGG